AACUUUCAACAACGGAUCUCUUGGCUCUCGCAUCGAUGAAGAACGCAGCGAAAUGCGAUAAGUAAUGUGAAUUGCAGAAUUCAGUGAAUCAUCGAAUUUUUGAACGCACCUUGCACUCCUUGGUAUUCCGAGGAGCAUGCCUGUUUGAGUGUCAU
Molecule: ribosomal RNA, 155 nt
Filed under: Erythricium salmonicolor (pink disease fungus)
Lineage: Eukaryota; Fungi; Basidiomycota; Agaricomycetes; Corticiales; Corticiaceae
Description: Corticium salmonicolor 5.8S ribosomal RNA
Rfam family: 5.8S ribosomal RNA
About the family: 5.8S ribosomal RNA (5.8S rRNA) is a component of the large subunit of the eukaryotic ribosome. It is transcribed by RNA polymerase I as part of the 45S precursor that also contains 18S and 28S rRNA.
Source: RNAcentral